RNAcentral lists this long non-coding RNA (266 nucleotides) under Solanum tuberosum (potato). RNAcentral describes it as "long non-coding RNA (STUB_LNC004151)". Lineage: Eukaryota; Viridiplantae; Streptophyta; Magnoliopsida; Solanales; Solanaceae. The record is from RNAcentral.
AAAUUUCAGAUGAUUUUUUGUUAUAUUUAGCUUUUAAAAAAUAAUUUAUAAUGCUCCACUAUAAACAAUUUUUUUCUAACAGAUGCUCCAGUCGAAUACUACAUCAAAUUCUUUGACUUGAGGAGAAGAAAUAAUUCUUUUACCUUCACUAUAAAUUCUUUUAAAUUGUUUUUUAAAAGCUAAAUAUAAUAGUCACAUUUUUAAUAUUACUAGGAAUUUCAUUAAAUACUAUGGUAAAUUCUUUCUUCUCCUCUGCUCGACCAGGG